CGCCCUUUGAGUUUGAUCCUGGCUCAGAUUGAACGCUGGCGGCAGGCUUAACACAUGCAAGUCGAGCGGUAACAGAGAGUAGCUUGCUAUUCUGCUGACGAGCGGCGGACGGGUGAGUAACGCGUAGGAAACUGCCUGGUAGUGGGGGAUAGCCCAGAGAAAUUUGGAUUAAUACCGCAUACGCCCUACGGGGGAAAAGGGGCUUUCUUCGAACCUCGUGCUAUUAGAUGAGCCCGCGUAAGAUUAGCUUGUUGGUGGGGUAAUGGCCUACCAAGGCGACGAUCUUUAGCUGGUCUGAGAGGAUGAUCAGCCACACUGGAACUGAGACACGGUCCAGACUCCUACGGGAGGCAGCAGUGGGGAAUAUUGCACAAUGGGGGAAACCCUGAUGCAGCCAUGCCGCGUGUGUGAAGAAGGCCUUCGGGUUGUAAAGCACUUUCAGUUGUGAGGAAAGGGUAGCGGUUAAUACCCGUUAUCUGUGACGUUAGCAACAGAAGAAGGACCGGCUAACUCCGUGCCAGCAGCCGCGGUAAUACGGAGGGUCCGAGCGUUAAUCGGAAUUACUGGGCGUAAAGCGCACGCAGGCGGUUUGUUAAGUUAGAUGUGAAAGCCCCGGGCUUAACCUGGGAAUAGCAUUAAAACUGGCAGGCUAGAGUCUUGGAGAGGGGAGUGGAAUUUCUGGUGUAGCGGUGAAAUGCGUAGAUAUCAGAAGGAACAUCAGUGGCGAAGGCGACUCCCUGGCCAAAGACUGACGCUCAUGUGCGAAAGUGUGGGUAGCGAACAGGAUUAGAUACCCUGGUAGUCCACACCGUAAACGCUGUCUACUAGCUGUUUGUGGAUUUAAUCCGUGAGUAGCGAAGCUAACGCGAUAAGUAGACCGCCUGGGGAGUACGGCCGCAAGGUUAAAACUCAAAUGAAUUGACGGGGGCCCGCACAAGCGGUGGAGCAUGUGGUUUAAUUCGAUGCAACGCGAAGAACCUUACCUACUCUUGACAUCCAGAAGAUUUAGCAGAGAUGCUUUAGUGCCUUCGGGAAUUCUGAGACAGGUGCUGCAUGGCUGUCGUCAGCUCGUGUCGUGAGAUGUUGGGUUAAGUCCCGCAACGAGCGCAACCCUUGUCCUUAGUUGCCAGCCUUUUAGUUGGGCACUCUAAGGAGACUGCCGGUGAUAAGCCGGAGGAAGGUGUGGAUGACGUCAAGUCCUCAUGGCCCUUACGGGUUGGGCUACACACGUGCUACAAUGGUAGUGACAAUGGGUUAAUCCCAAAAAGCUAUCUCAGUUCGGAUUGGAGUCUGCAACUCGACUCCGUGAAGUCGGAAUCGCUAGUAAUCGCAAAUCAGAAUGUUGCGGUGAAUACGUUCCCGGGCCUUGUACACACCGCCCGUCACACCAUGGGAGUUGGAUCUACCCGAAGGCCGUAGCUUAACCUUCGGGAGGGCGGUUACACGGUGGGGUUCAUGACUGGGGUGAAGUCGUAACAAGGUAAC
This 1485-nucleotide ribosomal RNA is filed under the name uncultured prokaryote. RNAcentral describes it as "partial 16S ribosomal RNA". It matches the Rfam family "Bacterial small subunit ribosomal RNA". The record is from RNAcentral.